Molecule: transfer RNA, 94 nt
Filed under: Dentipellis sp. KUC8613
Lineage: Eukaryota; Fungi; Basidiomycota; Agaricomycetes; Russulales; Hericiaceae
Rfam family: tRNA
About the family: Transfer RNA (tRNA) molecules are approximately 80 nucleotides in length. Their secondary structure includes four short double-helical elements and three loops (D, anti-codon, and T loops).
Source: Rfam by way of RNAcentral
GGCACUAUAGCCAAGUGGUUACGGCGACAGAUUAGAACUCUAAAUAUCUAUCUGUUUCCCUCUGGGAGCGCAGGUUCAAAUCCUGCUGGUGUCG